GAUGUGUAGGAUAGGUGGGAGGCUUUGAAGUGUGGACGCCAGUCUGCAUGGAGCCGACCUUGAAAUACCACCCUUUAAUGUUUGAUGUUCUAACGUUGACCCGUAAUCCGGGUUGCGGACAGUGUCUGGUGGGUAGUUUGACUGGGGCGGUCUCCUCCUAAAGAGUAACGGAGGAGCACGAAGGUUGGCUAAUCCUGGUCGGACAUCAGGAGGUUAGUGCAAUGGCAUAAGCCAGCUUGACUGCGAGCGUGACGGCGCGAGCAGGUGCGAAAGCAGGUCAUAGUGAUCCGGUGGUUCUGAAUGGAAGGGCCAUCGCUCAACGGAUAAAAGGUACUCCGGGGAUAACAGGCUGAUACCGCCCAAGAGUUCAUAUCGACGGCGGUGUUUGGCACCUCGAUGUCGGCUCAUCACAUCCUGGGGCUGAAGUAGGUCCCAAGGGUAUGGCUGUUCGCCAUUUAAAGUGGUACGCGAGCUGGGUUUAGAACGUCGUGAGACAGUUCGGUCCCUAUCUGCCGUGGGCGCUGGAGAACUGAGGGGGGCUGCUCCUAGUACGAGAGGACCGGAGUGGACGCAUCACUGGUGUUCGGGUUGUCAUGCCAAUGGCACUGCCCGGUAGCUAAAUGCGGAAGAGAUAAGUGCUGAAAGCAUCUAAGCACGAAACUUGCC
RNAcentral lists this ribosomal RNA (666 nucleotides) under Escherichia coli. RNAcentral's name for it is "partial 23S ribosomal RNA". It matches the Rfam family "Bacterial large subunit ribosomal RNA", at positions 2133 to 2798 of the family's 2925-position model. Lineage: Bacteria; Pseudomonadati; Pseudomonadota; Gammaproteobacteria; Enterobacterales; Enterobacteriaceae. The record is from RNAcentral.